UGGUAUCUUCCCCGAGGAGUUAUUCUUAUAAAAAACAACCUUAUUGAGAGGAAUUGGCAUGAAAAUACGCAAUGUAUUUUUUGUCAUCAUGAUGAAAUAAUAAAACAUUUAUUCUUUCAAUGUAAAUUAGCUCAUUCUAUAUGGUCAAUUAUUCAAAUAGCUUCUGACUUGUAUCCUCCACGUAGCGUUGCUAACAUUUUUGGCAACUGGUUACAGGGAAUUGAUUACAGAUUUAGAAUUUUUAUGAGGGUGGGAGCGCUCGUCGUUAUUUGGUCGCUUUGGUGUAGAAAUGAUAAGGUGUUCAACAAUAAAAGUACUGUUGGGGAACGUAGUAAUUUCAAAAAAUUUCCUACGCACACGCAAGAUCAUGGUGAUGCAUAG
RNAcentral lists this ribosomal RNA (381 nucleotides) under Triticum aestivum (bread wheat). RNAcentral describes it as "partial small subunit ribosomal RNA". Lineage: Eukaryota; Viridiplantae; Streptophyta; Magnoliopsida; Poales; Poaceae. The record is from RNAcentral.